GACGAACGCUGGCGGCGUGCUUAACACAUGCAAGUCGAACGGGUCUGCCCUGUUUUUUGCGGGGUGGGUCAGUGGCGAACGGGUGAGUAACACGUGAGUAACCUGCCCCUCACUUCUGGAUAACCGCUUGAAAGGGUGGCUAAUACGGGGUGUUCUGGCUGUGCCGCAUGGUGUGGCUGGGAAAGAUUCACUUUUGUGGUGUUUUGGUGGGGGAUGGGCUCGCGGCCUAUCAGCUUGUUGGUGGGGUGAUGGCCUGCCAAGGCUUUGACGGGUAGCCGGCCUGAGAGGGUGGGCGGUCACACUGGGACUGAGAUACGGACCAGACUCCUGCGGGAGGCAGAAGUGGGGGGUAUUGCACAAUGGGCGGAAGCCUGAUGCAGCGACGUCGCGUGAGGGAUGGAGGCCUUCGGGUUGUGAACCUCUUUCGCCGGUGAAGAAGGUCCUGCUCUUUGUGGUGGGGUUGACGGUAGCCGGGUUAUGAAGCGCCGGCUAACUACGUG
RNAcentral lists this ribosomal RNA (500 nucleotides) under uncultured bacterium. RNAcentral's name for it is "partial 16S ribosomal RNA". It matches the Rfam family "Bacterial small subunit ribosomal RNA", at positions 28 to 507 of the family's 1533-position model. The record is from RNAcentral.